This 490-nucleotide ribosomal RNA is filed under the name uncultured bacterium. Its description in RNAcentral is "partial 16S ribosomal RNA". It matches the Rfam family "Bacterial small subunit ribosomal RNA", at positions 30 to 507 of the family's 1533-position model. The record is from RNAcentral.
AUUGAACGCUGGCGGCAGGCCUAACACAUGCAAGUCGAAUGGUAACAGGAAACAGCUUGCUGUUUCGCUGACGAGUGGCGGACGGGUGAGUAAUGUCUGGGAAACUGCCUGAUGGAGGGGGAUAACUACUGGAAACGGUAGCUAAUACCGCAUAACGUCGCAAGACCAAAGAGGGGGACCUUCGGGCCUCUUGCCAUCAGAUGUGCCCAGAUGGGAUUAGCUAGUAGGUGGGGUAACGGCUCACCUAGGCGACGCUCCCUAGCUGGUCUGAGAGGAUGACCAGCCACACUGGAACUGAGACACGGUCCAGACUCCUACGGGAGGCAGCAGUGGGGAAUAUUGCACAAUGGGCGCAAGCCUGAUGCAGCCAUGCCGCGUGUAUGAAGAAGGCCUUCGGGUUGUAAAGUACUUUCAGCGGGGAGGAAGGGAGUAAAGUUAAUACCUUUGCUCAUUGACGUUACCCGCAGAAGAAGCACCGGCUAACUCCGUG